GCCAACGUUCAAACCGCGUUGAGUGCACUCGUUCUCGUCCGAUCACGAAAGUUAAGCAGCGCUGGGCACGGAUAGUACUUGGAUGGGUGACCGCCUGGGAACUCCGUGUGGUGUUGGCU
RNAcentral lists this ribosomal RNA (119 nucleotides) under Bombus impatiens (common eastern bumble bee). The record is from RNAcentral. Lineage: Eukaryota; Metazoa; Arthropoda; Insecta; Hymenoptera; Apidae.